UUUGAUCCUGUUCGGAAGAGAAGCUCCAUCCUUUUGCAUCACGAUGAAGGCUGCUGUUAUUCUUGCUGUUUUUGCUGCGGUGCUGUGUGCCAGCACUGUCAACUGUGACUGCCUUUGUCCCCGCAUCCUUGACCCCGUCUGUGACACCGCCGGCAACUACUACGACAACUCGUGUCAGUUGAACUGUGUUGAGGGUGCCGUCCAGGCCGCAGAAGGCGCAUACACCUUCAGUGCCAACUCUUGCGUUGCUGCCAGGAAGUAGAUGACUUUCACCUUCACCUUUGACCAAAUGGAGCGUCCCCGACUACAGAAGCACAUAUUGAUUGUGCAAUAAAAUAUUUAAGUAAUCCA
Molecule: long non-coding RNA, 351 nt
Filed under: Haliotis rufescens (red abalone)
Lineage: Eukaryota; Metazoa; Mollusca; Gastropoda; Lepetellida; Haliotidae
Description: uncharacterized LOC124111654
Source: RNAcentral